This 468-nucleotide ribosomal RNA is filed under the name uncultured bacterium. RNAcentral describes it as "partial 16S ribosomal RNA". It matches the Rfam family "Bacterial small subunit ribosomal RNA", at positions 28 to 507 of the family's 1533-position model. The record is from RNAcentral.
GACGAACGCUGGCGGCGUGCUUAACACAUGCAAGUCGAACGGAAAGGCCCUGCUUUUGUGGGGUGCUCGAGUGGCGAACGGGUGAGUAACACGUGAGUAACCUGCCCUUGACUUUGGGAUAACUUCAGGAAACUGGGGCUAAUACCGGAUAGGAGCUCCUGCUGCAUGGUGGGGGUUGGAAAGUUUCGGCGGUUGGGGAUGGACUCGCGGCUUAUCAGCUUGUUUGUGGGGUAGUGGCUUACCAAGGCUUUGACGGGUAGCCGGCCUGAGAGGGUGACCGGCGACAUUGGGCCUGAGAUACGGCCCAGACGCCUACGGGAGGCAGCAGUGGGGAAUAUUGCACAAUGGGCGGGAGCCUGAUGCAGCAACGCCGCGUGCGGGAUGACGGCCUUCGGGUUGUAAACCGCUUUCGCCUGUGACGAAGCGUGAGUGACGGUAAUGGGUAAAGAAGCACCGGCUAACUACGUG